Molecule: ribosomal RNA, 467 nt
Filed under: uncultured bacterium
Lineage: Bacteria
Description: partial 16S ribosomal RNA
Rfam family: Bacterial small subunit ribosomal RNA
Source: RNAcentral
GACGAACGCUGGCGGCGUGCUUAACACAUGCAAGUCGAACGGAAAGGCCUCUUUCGGGGGGUACUCGAGUGGCGAACGGGUGAGUAACACGUGAGUAACCUGCCCUUGACUUUGGGAUAACUUCAGGAAACUGGGGCUAAUACCGGAUAGGAGCUCCUGCUGCAUGGUGGGGGUUGGAAAGUUUCGGCGGUUGGGGAUGGACCCGCGGCUUAUCAGCUUGUUGGUGGGGUAGUGGCUUACCAAGGCUUUGACGGGUAGCCGGCCUGAGAGGGUGACCGGCCACAGUGGGACUGAGAUACGGCCCAGACUCCUACGGGAGGCAGCAGUGGGGAAUAUUGCACAAUGGGUGGAAGCCUGAUGCAGCAACGCCGUGUGUGGGAUGACGGCCUUCGGGUUGGAAACCGCUUUCGCUCAUGACGAAGCUUUGUGUGACGGUAGUGGGUAAAGAAGCACCGGCUAACUACGUG